UGGGGGAUAUUGCACAAUGGGGGGAACCCUGAUGCAGCGACGCCGCGUGGGUGAAGGAGCGCUCCGGCGCGUAAAGCCCUAUCGGCAGGGAAGAAAAGGCCCCUAGGGGCCGGACGGUACCUGACUAAGAAGCCCCGGCUAACUACGUGCCAGCAGCCGCGGUAAUACGUAGGGGGCGAGCGUUAUCCGGAUUUACUGGGUGUAAAGGGAGCGUAGACGGCUAUGCAAGCGCGGAGUGGAAUCCCAGGGCUUAACCAUGGGGCCGCUCUGGGAACUGCAUGGCUGGAGUGCAGGAGGGGUAAGAGGAAUUCCUGGUGUAGCGGUGAAAUGCGUAGAUAUCAGGAGGAACACCGGUGGCGAAGGCGUCUUACUGGACUGCGACUGACGUUGAGGCUCGAAAGCGUGGGGAGCGAACAGG
This 418-nucleotide ribosomal RNA is filed under the name uncultured bacterium. Its description in RNAcentral is "bacterial SSU rRNA". It matches the Rfam family "Bacterial small subunit ribosomal RNA", at positions 355 to 776 of the family's 1533-position model. The record is from RNAcentral.